CCGGGCGGCGGCGGCGGCGGCGGCAGAAGGGACGACUGAGCCCGCGCCCGGAGUUGCCGCUCCUGCCGCCUGGCGCGGGCGGCGCCUUCCCAGCAGAGCCGCGGCGCCGCGAGCGCGGGCGCCCCCUAACGGCGGCGCGGGCGAGAGGCCAGAGGGCCCGACGGCCGCAGGGACUCAGCCGGGCGCAGCGUGGACCGCACGGUCAGGCCAGCUUUGCUGCAGCCCCGAAGCCACGCCCCGAGGCCCCAGUCCCGCCCCCCGAAUCCACGAGGCCCCGCCCAGACCCCGCCCCUACGUCCCGCUUCCGCCCGCAGUUUGGGAUCAGCGUAGCUCCCGGCAGUCUUGACUGUGUUCUAGGGCCUAGGAUCCCCGGCGCUGUUUCUCCGUGUCAUCGCACUAGCGUGUAUGGGGCACCGACUAUGUGCCAGGCCUGAGGGAUACAGCGGCCACCAAGAUAGAGGGGGGUCCUAAUGAGAGGAGAAAACAGACAAGACCCAAGGAAACAGCCAGUAGUUUAUAAUAAUAACGAGUUCUGAUCAUAAAUGUUGGGAGGUGCAUGAUUAGCGGAAUUAGAUGGAGAACAAGGGGAAGGGGCCUCUGCUUCACACGCGGUGGCCUAGGAAGACCUGGACGUCAGGACUGUGGCCAGAGCGCCUCCUGGCUUUACCCUCCGUUGGGGGAGGCAAUCCUGUAAUAAGGUCACCUAUCCAUUAUGGUGGGCAGAGUAGGGAAUGGCAGCCUAGCCUGAAGGGUCAGCGUGGACAGCCAGGUGGAGAGAAGGGCAGAGCUGACUUCAGCAGAGAAAACGACCGGUGCAAAGGCUCUGAGGCCUGAAGGAGCUGGUCCUAGGUGAGGCUCUCACCGGUAUUGUCCUUAUUUCCCCGUAAAGGAAGCCAAGCAAGGCUGCAGAGAGUGGGGAAUUACCUAAAGUCUCCGCGCUAAUUGGUCUCCAGAUAUAGACUCCUGCCAAAUCAUAUUCGCUUCCUGCUAACCAGAUCUGUCUCCUUCCAGGUGGGACCAGAAUGCAUGGCUAUUGAAUUUAUAAUCAGGAAAAUACAAUUAGUUUUAUUUUUUACAAAAGAAAGACAACACCAAAAUUACCCAACACUCAGAUCUCCAGGAUUUGGUGCCACUGAAAAUCCACAACUGCCCCUGGCUUACUGGUAUUCUUGGAAGAGUCAUUCUCCCUCUCAAGGCUUUUGCUUCCUCAACUAAAAACUGAAAGGAAUUAACUUUGUCAGUGGUUUCCUCAGAACUAUUCCUAUAUAUCUAAGAUUUUAUUGCUAUUAUAAAUUAUAUUUUCAAAUUUAUGUGUAUUGUAUUGAUAGUUAGUGAAACAUGGUUGGUUUUUAUAUAAUAAUCUUGUAUUCAGCAAACUUGAUUUCUCUUUUGGUUCUAACAAGUUUAUAGACUUUCUUGAAUUUUCUGUGUUAAUAAUCAUAGAGUUUGCAAGUAAUGGUUUUUGGUAUCUUCCUGUCCAAUCUUUAUUUUCUUUCCUUUUCCUUGUUUUACUGUGCUGACUAAAACCUACAGCACAAUGUUGAAUCGCAAUUAUGAUAGUGGGCAUUUCUAUCUUGUUCUUGACUGCUUGUAACACGUCACCAUUAAUAUUGUGUUGGCUGUAGAUUUUUGAUAGAUGUGCUUUAUCAGGGUAAGGAGGCACUGUUCUGCUUUAUUAUGAAUGGAUGUUGAAUUUUAUAAAAUGUGAGAUUUUUUUUUCACCCAAAUGUUAUGAAUUACAAUCAUGGAUUUUAUUAUAUUAAACCUACCGUGCAUUCCUUGAAUAAACACAA
Molecule: long non-coding RNA, 1793 nt
Organism: Equus asinus (donkey)
Lineage: Eukaryota; Metazoa; Chordata; Mammalia; Perissodactyla; Equidae
Source: Ensembl